AUUGAACGCUGGCGGCAGGCCUAACACAUGCAAGUCGAGCGGAUGAAGGGAGCUUGCUCCUGGAUUCAGCGGCGGACGGGUGAGUAAUGCCUAGGAAUCUGCCUGGUAGUGGGGGAUAACGUCCGGAAACGGGCGCUAAUACCGCAUACGUCCUGAGGGAGAAAGUGGGGGAUCUUCGGACCUCACGCUAUCAGAUGAGCCUAGGUCGGAUUAGCUAGUUGGUGGGGUAAAGGCCUACCAAGGCGACGAUCCGUAACUGGUCUGAGAGGAUGAUCAGUCACACUGGAACUGAGACACGGUCCAGACUCCUACGGGAGGCAGCAGUGGGGAAUAUUGGACAAUGGGCGAAAGCCUGAUCCACCCAUGCCGCGUGUGUGAAGAAGGUCUUCGGAUUGUAAAGCACUUUAAGUUGGGAGGAAGGGCAGUAAGUUAAUACCUUGCUGUUUUGACGUUACCAACAGAAUAAGCACCGGCUAACUUCGUG
Molecule: ribosomal RNA, 484 nt
Filed under: uncultured bacterium
Lineage: Bacteria
Description: partial 16S ribosomal RNA
Rfam family: Bacterial small subunit ribosomal RNA
Source: RNAcentral